This 732-nucleotide ribosomal RNA is filed under the name uncultured Leptotrichia sp. RNAcentral's name for it is "bacterial SSU rRNA". It matches the Rfam family "Bacterial small subunit ribosomal RNA", at positions 28 to 776 of the family's 1533-position model. Lineage: Bacteria; Fusobacteriati; Fusobacteriota; Fusobacteriia; Fusobacteriales; Leptotrichiaceae. The record is from RNAcentral.
GAUGAACGCUGACAGAAUGCUUAACACAUGCAAGUCUUUGGCGAAGCUGUGCUUGCACAGCCUAGCCAAGGCGGACGGGUGAGUAACGCGUAAGGAACUUGCCCUGCAGUCAGGGAUAACAGACGGAAACGACUGAUAAGACCUGGUAAAGUCAGGCGGACUCAUGUCCAGCCUGAUGAAAAGAGAUGCUGCAGGAGAGCCUUGCGUCCUAUUAGCUUGUUGGUGGGGUAACGGCCCACCAAGGCGAUGAUAGGUAGCCGGCCUGAGAGGGUGGACGGCCACAAGGGGACUGAGAUACGGCCCUUACUCCUACGGGAGGCAGCAGUGGGGAAUAUUGGACAAUGGGGGCAACCCUGAUCCAGCAAUUCUGUGUGCACGAUGAAGGUUUUCGGAUUGUAAAGUGCUUUCAGCAGGGAAGAAAAAAAUGACGGUACCUGCAGAAGAAGCGACGGCUAAAUACGUGCCAGCAGCCGCGGUAAUACGUAUGUCGCAAGCGUUAUCCGGAAUUAUUGGGCAUAAAGGGCAUCUAGGCGGCCAGAUAAGUCUGGGGUGAAAACUUGCGGCUCAACCGCAAGCCUGCCCUGGAAACUAUGCGGCUAGAGUACUGGAGAGGUGGACGGAACUGCACGAGUAGAGGUGAAAUUCGUAGAUAUGUGCAGGAAUGCCGAUGAUGAAGAUAGUUCACUGGACGGUAACUGACGCUGAAGUGCGAAAGCUAGGGGAGCAAACAGG